Molecule: ribosomal RNA, 425 nt
Filed under: uncultured bacterium
Lineage: Bacteria
Description: partial 16S ribosomal RNA
Rfam family: Bacterial small subunit ribosomal RNA
Source: RNAcentral
GUGGGGAAUCUUAGACAAUGGGGGAAACCCUGAUCUAGCCAUGCCGCGUGAUCGAUGAAGGCCUUAGGGUUGUAAAGAUCUUUCAGGUGGGAAGAUAAUGACUGUACCACCAGAAGAAGCCCCGGCUAACUCCGUGCCAGCAGCCGCGGUAAUACGGAGGGGGCUAGCGUUGUUCGGAAUUACUGGGCGUAAAGCGCACGUAGGCGGAUUGGAAAGUUGGGGGUGAAAUCCCGGGGCUCAACCCCGGAACUGCCUUCAAAACUCCCAGUCUUGAGUUCGAGAGAGGUGAGUGGAAUUCCGAGUGUAGAGGUGAAAUUCGUAGAUAUUCGGAGGAACACCAGUGGCGAAGGCGGCUCACUGGCUCGAUACUGACGCUGAGGUGCGAAAGCAUGGGGAGCAAACAGGAUUAGAAACCCGUGUAGUCC